RNAcentral lists this long non-coding RNA (320 nucleotides) under Eucalyptus grandis. RNAcentral's name for it is "long non-coding RNA (EGRA_LNC005223)". The record is from RNAcentral. Lineage: Eukaryota; Viridiplantae; Streptophyta; Magnoliopsida; Myrtales; Myrtaceae.
AAAGCAGCAACACGGAGCUCUUUAGCAAUGGAUGCUUGCUCGUGCUAAUUUGGCGCUAUCCUAUCUGAGCUUUUUCCCCACUACUUCUCUUUUUUCAUUUUUCCAUUUCUAUAUUCUCGUCCUCCCCGUCCCGUUCCGCCCUUCUUGACCUUGUAAGACCUUUUCUUGACCUUGUAAGACCCCCCUCCGUUCCCGCCCCGUCACUUCUCCUUCCGGCCCCGGGCUCUGAAUCGCGAGUGAGCGAUGUAGAGUACGGUCGCCUGCCUUCCCCUUUCCCACCCAACUCAUCUUCUCCUUCCUUGUCUAUCCCUCCUGAGCUA